RNAcentral lists this non-coding RNA (30 nucleotides) under Mus musculus (house mouse). RNAcentral also lists the same sequence under 1 other name. The record is from RNAcentral. Lineage: Eukaryota; Metazoa; Chordata; Mammalia; Rodentia; Muridae.
UCUUCUGAGAAUCCAUGUUCUGAAAAGAGA